This 432-nucleotide ribosomal RNA is filed under the name uncultured bacterium. RNAcentral describes it as "bacterial SSU rRNA". It matches the Rfam family "Bacterial small subunit ribosomal RNA", at positions 917 to 1349 of the family's 1533-position model. The record is from RNAcentral.
GGGCCCGCACAAGCGGUGGAGUAUGUGGUUUAAUUCGAUGCAACGCGAAGAACCUUACCAGGGUUUGACAUCCUGCGAAUUUCUGGGAAACCGGAAAGUGCCUUCGGGAGCGCAGUGACAGGUGGUGCAUGGCUGUCGUCAGCUCGUGUCGUGAGAUGUUGGGUUAAGUCCCGCAACGAGCGCAACCCACGUCUUUAGUUGCCAGCAUUUAGUUGGGCACUCUAGAGAGACCGCCGGUGAUAAACCGGAGGAAGGUGUGGAUGACGUCAAGUCAUCAUGCCCCUUACAUCCUGGGCUGCACGCAUUGCUACAAUGGCAAGUACAACGAGUCGCAAUACCGCGAGGUGGAGCAAAUCUCUUAAAGCUUGUCUCAGUUCGGAUAGGAGUCUGCAACUCGACUCCUUGAAGUUGGAGUCGCUAGUAAUCGCAAAU